UUUCAUUUUCCUUUGAUUAUAGGAGUGAGAAUGAAAACUAAUUUGAGCUCUGACUCUGUGUGAUCAGACAGCAGCUUCAGAACACUGAAACUCUUAGGGAAGAUGAAGUGUAUUAGUUCUGAGCUAUGGAGAAACUCAUGAUGGAUAAAAGUUCAUAGAAUAACAGAACCCUAUGUGAAGACUGCAUGGGAAGACAAAUCAUCUGAGCAGGAACUAAUGGAAUGGGUGGCAAACUGGUUACAACAGGUUUCAAAAUGAUUGUGAUAUGAUGAAACGUCAAGAUUUCAUCUGCUAUAGAGACUCUCACCGGAUGAGCUUCCAGAAACAUCUCCUUCCAGAAGCUGAAAAUAACUCAAAGCUAAUACAAAAACAACUCCAAAUCAGAGUUGCAAAUAUCAGUAUUUCUGUGUUUUGGCAAUAAGCAAAUAUGGAUACAGUAUCACAUUUUAUUCAUUAGUUUUCUUUAUUCCAAAAUGAGAUUGUUAUAAAAAUGAAUUUGGAGGUUGUCAGAAAAUUGUACUUGGGAGACAUA
This 532-nucleotide long non-coding RNA is filed under the name Numida meleagris (helmeted guineafowl). RNAcentral describes it as "lncRNA (ENSNMEG00000000563.1)". The record is from RNAcentral. Lineage: Eukaryota; Metazoa; Chordata; Aves; Galliformes; Numididae.